Molecule: non-coding RNA, 529 nt
Organism: Hydra vulgaris (swiftwater hydra)
Lineage: Eukaryota; Metazoa; Cnidaria; Hydrozoa; Anthoathecata; Hydridae
Source: RefSeq, a predicted model, not a curated record
CAUCAAUGAUAGAGUUUGAUUUACAACGCGUCUUUGGUAGUAGCUAAAACUCUUCUGCGUAAUGGUCUUGCUUGUCAAGUAUUUGGUAGUAAAGAUGUUAAGGAUUAUUCUUACAAAAAAUUUUUAAAAUUUUACGUAAAUAUUUUUUUGUUUGUUUACACAAGAUGAGACCAAAGAAUGUUGAGAUCAACGACAGGCAUAUAAAGCAAAAGAAAAUAAUACUAAAUAAAGAUAUUUGUGAGCAAACUCAUCAGUUAUUUUUCGUUUGAUUUGAACAGACGUGAAGAAUUAGCCAACCAACUGCUUCAACAACUCUACUCAACUUCAACCGCUUCAACAACUUUACCGAACUAUUAAUUACGACUCAAUGUGUGUUGGUCGCAUUUGAAGCCGCAAUAUCCUGUACGAGUGCGCCAAAACAAAAAAUUUUCAAAACAUUACAUUGCAAAUUCAAAAAAAAUAUUUGUGUAUAUUUGUGUUUUUGUAUACAUUAACGAUUUCUGAAGCCUAAUAUAAAAUUUUGUUAAAA